CCUACGGGAGGCUGCAGUGGGGAAUAUUGGACAAUGGGGGCAACCCUGAUCCAGCCAUGCCGCGUGUGUGAAGAAGGCCCUCGGGUUGUAAAGCACUUUCAGUGAGGAAGAACGCCUGGUGGUUAAUACCCAUCAGGAAAGACAUCACUCACAGAAGAAGCACCGGCUAACUCCGUGCCAGCAGCCGCGGUAAAACGGAGGGUGCGAGCGUUAAUCGGAAUUACUGGGCGUAAAGCGCGCGUAGGUGGCUUGAUAAGCCGGUUGUGAAAGCCCCGGGCUCAACCUGGGAACGGCAUCCGGAACUGUCAAGCUAGAGUGCAGGAGAGGAAGGUAGAAUUCCCGGUGUAGCGGUGAAAUGCGUAGAGAUCGGGAGGAAUACCAGUGGCGAAGGCGGCCUUCUGGACUGACACUGACACUGAGGUGCGAAAGCGUGGGUAGCAAACAGGAUUAGAUACCCGGGUAGUC
This 465-nucleotide ribosomal RNA is filed under the name Vreelandella stevensii. RNAcentral's name for it is "partial 16S ribosomal RNA". It matches the Rfam family "Bacterial small subunit ribosomal RNA", at positions 338 to 795 of the family's 1533-position model. Lineage: Bacteria; Pseudomonadati; Pseudomonadota; Gammaproteobacteria; Oceanospirillales; Halomonadaceae. The record is from RNAcentral.